This 366-nucleotide ribosomal RNA is filed under the name uncultured bacterium. RNAcentral describes it as "bacterial SSU rRNA". It matches the Rfam family "Bacterial small subunit ribosomal RNA", at positions 30 to 396 of the family's 1533-position model. The record is from RNAcentral.
AUUGAACGCUGGCGGCGUGCUUAACACAUGCAAGUCGUGCGGUAACAGGCGUAGCAAUACGUGCUGACGAGCGGCGAACGGGUGCGUAAUACAUGGGAAUCUGCCUUUUAGUGGGGAAUAACCCGGCGAAAGCCGGGCUAAUGCCGCAUAAGAUCUUCGGAUGAAAGCGGGGGAUCGUAAGACCUCGCGCUGAUAGAUGAGCCCAUGCCGGAUUAGCAGUUGGUGAGGUAACGGCUCACCAAGGCGACGAUCCGCAGCUGGUCUGAGAGGACGGCCAGCCACACUGGGACUGAGACACGGCCCAGACUCCUACGGGAGCAGCAGUAAGGAAUAUUGCGCAAUGGGCGAGAGCCUGACGCAGCGACG